UACGUAGGGUGCAGGCGUUAAUCGGAAUUACUGGGCGUAAAGCGUGCGCAGGCGGUUUCUUAAGUCAGAUGUGAAAGCCCCGGGCUUAACCUGGGAACUGCGUUUGAAACUGGGAGACUUGAGUGUGGCAGAGGGGGGUGGAAUUCCACGUGUAGCAGUGAAAUGCGUAGAUAUGUGGAGGAACACCGAUGGCGAAGGCAGCCCACUGGGUUAACACUGACGCUCAUGCACGAAAGCGUGGGGAGCAAACAGG
Molecule: ribosomal RNA, 253 nt
Filed under: uncultured bacterium
Lineage: Bacteria
Description: partial 16S ribosomal RNA
Rfam family: Bacterial small subunit ribosomal RNA
Source: RNAcentral